GAUGAACGCUAGCGGCAGGCUUAAUACAUGCAAGUCGAACGGGGUUCAGGGUAGCAAUACUUUGAUGAGAGUGGCGCACGGGUGCGUAACGCGUAUGCAACCUACCUUUAACAGGGGAAUAGCCCCGAGAAAUCGGGAUUAAUACUCCGUAACAUUGCGGGAUGGCAUCAUUCUGCAAUUAAAGAUUUAUCGGUUAAAGAUGGGCAUGCGUGACAUUAGCUUGUUGGUGAGGUAACGGCUCACCAAGGCAACGAUGUCUAGGGGUCCUGAGAGGGUUAUCCCCCACACUGGUACUGAGACACGGACCAGACUCCUACGGGAGGCAGCAGUAAGGAAUAUUGGUCAAUGGGCGCAAGCCUGAACCAGCCAUGCCGCGUGCAGGAAGACGGCCCUAUGGGUUGUAAACUGCUUUUGUCAGGGAAUAAACCUGUCUACGUGUAGACAGCUGAAGGUACCUGAAGAAUAAGCAUCGGCUAACUCCGUGCCAGCAG
RNAcentral lists this ribosomal RNA (491 nucleotides) under uncultured bacterium. RNAcentral describes it as "bacterial SSU rRNA". It matches the Rfam family "Bacterial small subunit ribosomal RNA", at positions 28 to 514 of the family's 1533-position model. The record is from RNAcentral.